CCCCCACAUUGGUACUGAGACACGGACCAAACUGGUACGGGAGGCAGCAGUGAGGAAUAUUGGUCAAUGGGCGUAAGCCUGAACCAGCCAAGUCGCGUGAGGGAUGAAGGUUCUAUGGAUCGUAAACCUCUUUUAUAAGGGAAUAAAGUGCGGGACGUGUCCCGUUUUGUAUGUACCUUAUGAAUAAGGAUCGGCUAACUCCGUGCCAGCAGCCGCGGUAAUACGGAGGAUCCGAGCGUUAUCCGGAUUUAUUGGGUUUAAAGGGUGCGUAGGCGGCCUUUUAAGUCAGCGGUGAAAGUCUGUGGCUCAACCAUAGAAUUGCCGUUGAAACUGGGAGGCUUGAGUAUGUUUGAGGCAGGCGGAAUGCGUGGUGUAGCGGUGAAAUGCUUAGAUAUCGCGCAGAACCCCGAUUGCGAAGGCAGCCUGCCAAGCCAUGACUGACGCUGAUGCACGAAAGCGUGGGGAUCAAACAGGAUUAGAUACCCUGGUAGUCCACGCAGU
Molecule: ribosomal RNA, 501 nt
Filed under: uncultured bacterium
Lineage: Bacteria
Description: bacterial SSU rRNA
Rfam family: Bacterial small subunit ribosomal RNA
Source: RNAcentral